Long non-coding RNA from Bubalus bubalis (water buffalo), 12182 nucleotides. RefSeq lists it as uncharacterized. Lineage: Eukaryota; Metazoa; Chordata; Mammalia; Artiodactyla; Bovidae. The record is from RefSeq and is a predicted model, not a curated record. The transcript has 2 exons.
GUUGGACACGACUGAGUGACUGAACUGAACUCUGCAACUAGUUUAAUUCCCAGUGACCUCCAAAUGAUGAAAUUCAAAGGGAACUUUUAGUGUGUAUCUUGCUUGGCUUUUUAGCAGUAGUAAAAUCUAUUGUUUACAGCUUCUUUUUGAAACAUAGUCUUUCCUUGGAUUUUCUGAUCCAUGUGGUUUUUUGACCACCUCCCUGGCCCUUCUUACACCAUUUCUUACAGGUUCAUAUACAUUCACCUAGCGAAUAAAUGUUGAAAUGUCUCUGCCCAAGGACCUCUUUUCUUCUCAGUCUGAUCUCUCUUUCUCGGUGGUCUCAUCCAUAUCUGUAGUUUUAACUAUCACCUGUUUGGAAAAGACUCUGACGCUGGGAUGGACUGGGGGCAGGAGGAGAAGGGGAUGACAGAGGAUGAGAUGGCUGAAUUGCAUCACUGAAUCGAUGGACGUGAGUUUGAGUGGACUCCGGGAAUUGGUGAUGGACAGGGAGGCCUGGCGUGCUGCAAUUCAUGAGGUCGCAGAGAGUCAGACACGACUGAGUGACUGAACUGAACUGAACUGUAUGUACCCAUGGACAUGUCCUCUGAGCUCCUAAGGUGUCUGCCUUCUUGUCAGAGACCUAAGAGUUGACCCAUUGGUCCCAACGUCCUACCAGUUUAUUUCUUAUUACUUCUUAAAGCCAUCCACUCUCAUUCUUCACCCUCAUCACCCAAGUUCAAACCAUAUCAUGUUUGUGGCUUGUAUUUCUUAAAUUCGGGACUACUGUGGUAGCCUCCAAUGUUAUCUACCUUUAUCUGCUUUUAACCCUCACAGUAUACUCUGCUCCCUUCAACAGAUGUUUGCACAAUGCAAACAAAUCAGGUCAGUCCCCUGCUUCAAACCUUGCACUGCUUAGCCUUGUAUUUAGGAUGAAGAGCAAACUCUCUAACCUGGUCUACUCCACUCUGCAUAGUCUAGCCCUCUUACCAACUCUCCAGUUCCAUCUCACACCAUCUGCAUCCCUCACACACACUCCCAGACCUUCAGGCAAUGCCACACACUCAUACAUGCUCACCUCCUUUUUAGUUUCUCUAAAAUGCCAGUCUCCAUCCUACCAUAAGCCUUUGCCAAUGCUAUUCCUUCUGCCUAAACACAGUUGGCAUUCCCUCACUUAGUAAUCUCGUUAACUUUGUCAUUUUCCUCCCCCUGUUCUCAGCUCACAAUAUUACUUCCCCAGGGAUGCCUUCUUCCAAGACCAGCUCUUGCUUUUUUUUCCUCAAGGUCCUUAAAACAGCAUAUACCUCUUCUUCAUAGCCCUUCUUGACUUUUUAAUUUAAUGUGUAUGUCUUCAUGUGUUUUUUUUUGCCUAUCUAUUUCCUUAAAUCAUCUUUAAGCUCCUCAGGACAAGGGUCAUAACAUUAUUUUUGUUCAUCAUUGUAUCUUCAGCACUCAGCCUACUGCUUCAACCACAGUAGGUACAGAGUAAAUAUUUACCAGAUGAUUAGAAGACUUUAUGAGAGGACGAUGAAAUCAAGUAAGGCCACAGAAACGUGAUGGAGAGCACCACCACACCUAGAUGUUCCAACCCCAGCCCAUCAAAUCAGAACCAAGAAAGUUCAUUUGAAAGUCAUGAUUCAGACUUCCAGCAUAAAUUAUAUGCAGUUGUGCAAACAUGUCAAAGUUUAGCAAAUUGAAUUUGUUGAAUGUAAACAACUUUUGACCAAAAUAAUAACACAGCUUUAGAAAAAGACAUUAGGCACCCACUUUUGAAGAGUUUGUAUAAUUUAACACACAAGAAAACUUUACUGUAAUUAUAUGCAGACGUAUACAAAGGAUAAAUGUUAUUUACUUGCUCCAACCUCCAUAAAAUAAACCUCCAACUAGGCUGCAGCUUGCUGCAUUAAUCCUAAUUUAGAAACCACUCCCACUGAGGUGGUGGGGGCUCCGUGGGCCCCUCAUCUUUUCCUUGUGUCAAAAUUAGCCAUUUAAAUUAGAACCACAUUAGGAGCGUUGGUGACGCCAACAUCAUGGCCCCAGUGUGGGGAGCACUUAAAAGUGGCCACCUGAAGUUGAUUAAAUCCUUACCUGUCAAACCCUGUAUGGUUAUGUUGGAAAAUCUUUAAUGUAAUUAAGAGAAGCACAUUAUGGGAGGUCAAGUGACUUGCUUUUUGAAUUCCACUUCUAAUCUGUCAUCAAAUGGAUUGGAAAUUGUCGGCUGGGGGUAGUUAAUGAAAGCUGCAUGAGCAAGCAGGGGAGGAGAGGGAUAGGGGACUGGCAGGCAGGAGAGCCAGAUGGGGGCUCUAUCUCCUGAUAGUCAUGAGGACCGGGUCUGGGGGAGACUACCGAGCACCCUGCCCCCUCAGGAGGCUCUGGGUGGGAGGCUCACUCAGCACCUGUCUCUUAGCACAUCGGGAAGCAGGAUAAGGGGAGGGGCCGUCUGCACAGCUCCUUGCUUAUCAUUAAGUGAGAUCUGGGGCCUGGAUGUCAGCGGCCUGGGCAGAGUGGAGCCGGCGCCGCCCUCGUCACCCUUCACUCAGAGCCGUCUGAUCUUCAUCAGCGUUUAGCUUGCCUUAUGUGCUGAUCCCCCAAAGAAUGGCGGGGUGCUUCCACCCGGGGCCUCCAACUGUCCAGUCUCUGACUCCAGGCUCCUCACAGGUCCACAGCCUUGAGCACAUUGGGUCUGAGGAAGAAAUUCGGCAUUGCCCCGAGUUUCUUCCUGAGCGUGUGGGUUCCUGGCCCACUAAACCCAUCUCUCAGUGUAUUGGGUGUGUUUGGGCUCCAGGGAUCCUGUGCAUCUUAAUGCCAGAAUGCUGCCUUUUAGAGAUGAAAUUACUUAAUGCUUUGCUGUGUGUUUUCACCUGAGGGUGCUGUUGACAGAAGGCAGAGUUUUUCUGCUCUGGUUGCUGUCUCCCUCUUUGUUUUUGUACAUUGCAUCUGUGUACAUUAGCGGAGGUAUCUGUGUUUGAAAAAGGAUUACAUCCGUCAGAAUGUUGCCACUUAAGAUUUGCCCCCUUCCUCGGAGAUUGGCAUGAGAACAAACACCACACUGCAUCUUCACAGGGUAUCGGCAUGGGGAACCUUCCAGACCAGAUAGGCUUCCCCCUUGGCUCUCUUCCUAGCUUGAGUAUGGGCAGAAUGCAUCAGUGUUGAGAGAAGAGAUUUAAUCUUCAAAUUUGGGAAUAUCUUCAAUACUCCAUGGAAAAGAUUGGGUGUCUCCUGUGUGUGGUGGUCCUUAGGAGUUAUUUAGAACAGAAUGGACAAUCCAGGCAAAGAUGAAAUGCACAGCCAAGAUUCAGAAGCAUCUAAAGGUCUAUGCUUGGGGCUGGUGCACUGGGACGAACCAGAGGGAUGGUAUGGGGAGGGAGGAGGGAGGAGGGUUCAGGAUGGGGAACACAUGUAUACCUGUGGCAGAUUCAUUUCGGUAUAUGGCAAAACCAAUACAAUAUUGUAAAGUUAAAAAAUAAAAUAAAAUAAAAUAAUAAGAUUUGCCCAAAGGGUCUUAAGAAAGGUCCAGGGUUUUAAGAAGGGUCCAGGGUCUCCUGUUAUUAGAACUGUGAAGAGGUGGCAGAUACAGUUGAAGGGAAGAGAUGCAGAAGGAUGAGGCAUUUAUUAAGAGGGUGUCUAGAUAAUUCUUCAUUGGGCUUGAAUUUCCUUGGUUUAGAGAAUUUUUAGUCAUUGUCCCAUGUGAAAAAUGGAAGAGUUAAAUGGGAGGGGAGAAGAUGAGACAGAAAAAAAUCAACCUGGAAGUAGUUUCAAAUAAGAGCAGAGCACUGGUGAAAGUCAUUUUCCAAGGGCCCUCCCUCUGCCGUGUUCCUUUUUUUGACCAAUGAAGAGCCCCCUUUCUUAUCUCCUGCUCACCCCCAUUUUUCAUCCACAGCAGAAAGGGCAGUGUUUCUAGAAAGGGAGGUGUGUCUCCAGGUAAAAGCUGUCCCAAGGCAGUGGCAAGAGGAGCUGCGGUGCUCGGCUCCCUCUGGAUACCAUGUUUACCUCCUGGCCACAAGUUCACAGGCUCGGGGAGCAUCAUGGGAAUGGAAACGGGGAAGAAUCACAAAACUGCAGAUGUUUCCCAGGUUCUGGAUGCCGCAAGCACUGCCAGCUUGGAUGUGCAGAAAGCAUAGUGUGACAUGGUGAGUUAUCACUCAUCGUUUAUGUGCUGGGAUGGGACAGGAUGAGGCUGCUGUGGGCCCUGAGAGUAUUAAUGUGAGGUGCCCGCAUGUGUGCCUUGUAAGCCUGUGUGCCUUCAGAUGUACCAGGACAAGGGCUUCAUUCCGCUGUGGGGAUUAAGUACAAAUCAAACAGUUAGAGCUGAUAUUUCAGUUCCCUGCUUUUGAGAGCCAAAGCACACAAACUAUCCUUGAAUAUUCUACUUAGGAAAGAUAAAUAUAGAAGAUGAUAAUGGAUUCAAAUAAUCAUACCUUUUUAGAUCUAAAAUGUAGGAGAUUUUUAAAAUUCAGGUAACCCAGGUUGCAGGUGAGGAAACUGAGUCUUGAAGAAGGUAAGUGACUUGCGCAGUGGCAGUCAGGACUGGAAGCCCAGUUUUUCUAUUCCUAGUUUCAUGUAACAAGGCCUUGAUAAAUCUGUUGAUAAGAAGUUUCAGGCCUUUUUAUUAGAUGCGAGUUUCCAAGCAAGAUUUUGAUCUUCACUUCCCUUAUAUUCCCCGCUGUCCUUUUCCAGAAGCACUUUGACCUCCAGGUCCAAGGUUCAAACCCCGUUUGAAGUGCAGUCUCGUGGAGUCCCCUUGGGGCAGACAGUCUUCCCAGAUGGCAUCUCUGACAGAAGACUGUGCUCGAAUGGCAGCCAUUUUGAUGACAAGGUUCCUGAGGGGGACCAUUUUGACAUGAAAGAGAACCUGGAUUUGUUGAGGUUCACUUGGCAAGUGUAGCUUUUCUCUUUCCAUCUCUGAUGCUCUGUCCGUUACCCACAUUUGAGAGCCAUUCCAGGGCUGUAACUGGGGCUGAUAAAACCCUUCAACCAUUUUCUAGGGGGCUCUUGAGCUGCCAGCAUCCCUCUCUGCUCUACAUGUCUGUCUGAUAACUCUUGCUCUUAGGCUCACACAGCAGUAAUAACUGGGCUAGUGAUGGGCUGGGCAGUAAACAGUUCCUUGCACCUGCUUUGAUCUCCCAUGCAGGAGUUUACAAAUUGUCAAUCUUUGCUUGGAAGAAAAAGACCGCCUUUCAGCAUAGUUUUGUCCAUACAAACUUACCAGGCCAAGAUGCUCUCUAGUGAGCCACAAACUUAGUAGCAAAACCAAGUCCAGUGUUGUGAUCACAAAGGACAGAGAUGGAAGAACAGAAGCUGUAUUGGAUUAUGUUAGCAAGAGAAUAGGUGGGAUGAGACUCAGCCAAGGCAUGUUAAUGCUUCAUUCUCCCCAAAAGUUGUUUACCAUGUGGCAUUUUAUGUGAGUUACCCUUAAAGGGUGAAUGAAGUAUGCUGCUGCUACUGCUGCUAAGUCGCUUCAGUCGUGUCCGACUCUGUGCGACCCCAUAGACGGCAGCCCACCAGGCUCCCCCGUCCCUGGGAUUCUCCAGGCAAGAACACUGGAGUGGCUUGCCAUUUCCUUCUCCAAAACUGUCCCAGGGCAGCAUUGUAGAACAGAUGGCUUGGAGAGCAAACCCUCCUAGAGAGGACUUCUCCUCUGGUCAAGGGAUCAAUUAUGGAUGAAUAAAUUCUUAUUCAUUUUAGAAUUCUGGUGCAUUUUCAUUUCUGCCCCACAUUUAACCCAGGUAAAAUACAGCCUUACCAGACCAAGUAGAGAGUGAACUGGAGUUCCAAGCACAGUCAUUUGAAUUUGGCUCUUGUGGUCUUUCAGGGAAUCAUACAGAGGAUUGAGUCACUUCCCUGGUUAAAGGAAAACAUCUAGUAUCAAAUUCUUCCAUGAACUGGUGGAAAGGUUUGAGAAAACUUUGGCAGACAUGGCAUGAGGAGCCAAGCCCUUGCUGUAGCAUGCAGCAACUGGCAGGAGUUAUAUUAUGAUGUGAUGGUGACGGCGGGGCUGGGGGGCCCAUUAUAUUACAGAGCAAGUCAGUAACCUUGUGGAUCAUGCAGCCAUUGAAUCUUUCUCCUGUUAUGGAACAGGUUGAGUUGCCAAAAAUCAAGCCUCUCCUGACCUGCAUAAAGAACCCACACGUCAAAAUGUUGAGCCAUUCCCAGUGUGCACCGCUUUAUGUUGGAGAACUUAUGGGGGGACCAUGGUGCUGUGGAAGAGACCCAGGCUUUGCUAUUGAUAGACCCCAAAAGUAGUUUAGGGUCUUAACCAUGACUUAGUGGUCAAGUUUAGGAAUCAUGUUAUGAGCAAGGCCAUGAACAAAUGUUUACCAGUGAUUAAGAACUAAAGCUUGUGAAUGAUGUACAUUCAUCUAAAUUAGAGCAGAUUCACAUUGCCUCCUUUCCUUUAUAAUUUCUCAAGCCAGGGAGAAAGGGAUAUCGUUAGUUACUUCAGGGGUGUGGCAUCUCAGCUUAAAUGGCCUCCUGGGAGUGGGCUGGGCUCAAUGAAAUAAUCCUCCACGUCUUUUGGCAGAUAAAUGUUUGAGAUCGAUGUUAUUAGGUUGUACUACACCAAUGAUAUUACCCAACCAGAAAGUGUGACAAAUAGUUUAAUGAAGAACAACAGUUAUUGUGGAUGGUAGAUAUUUCUUUACUUAAAGGCAAAGAUGAGUAAUAUUUGAAAUUCAGGAAAUGGCAGCCUCUCUUCAUUUGAGACCAGCACAAAUAAUAAGAUUCUGCCUUUUCACAGAGGAUGAGAACAAAUGAAAAAUUUAGGAUAUUAUCACCUUGCAGAAUUGAAAAUUCUCCAGCCGGAUCAUCCUGGACUCCCAGUCCCAGGAUGCCAAACUCUCUUAUCUCCUUUUUGAUGGAAAAACGUCACAAUUUCCUUUUCUAGCCUCUUAUUUGUUUUUUGGGAGAUUUUUCUGAAAAUGGUUCCUUUCUAUGUGGGACCAUUUAAAGAAACCAGACCAGAAAAAUCAUGCUAAGUAGCACUUUUUUUCUUGAGUGUUUUUCUUUUUGCAGUUUGGAACUGGAGGCAAAUGAAGGCCUCCCUAGUGCCCUGGUAGCUGCGGCCCCUCUUUUAGCAUUUUUUCAAAGGGCACAGGCCAAUCUGCCCAUAAUGAGCUUGGAAAGUGAGGAUGAAGUUCCUGAUAAUAUGACACAAAUUUCUUUACUUUUGCUCCUUAUUUCAUCUUAAUUAGUCCCUGUAGAAAGGAUUGAUUUUUGAGAGGCUUGUAGUGAACAUCUGUUGGUAUUCCUGGGGUCAUUCUUAGUCUGUCCUGUGUUUGACAUUUCUUGUAAAAGAGGAGGCAUUUGUUCAUAUUGACAUUAGCUGCCUCUGUAUCUCUCGGUGGUACAGAUGGUCUGUGAAUAAAGACAUCAAGCUAAUAGGCAAGAUGACAAGCUUCAAUAGAGCUGGGGCUCCUCACACUUAAAUGGCAGGGCAGCAUGGAUUGCUUCUGCUGCCGAGGCUGGGGUCUGCGGGUAGCAAAGCAUAUGGAAUAAGUUAAAAAUGAAGAAGGAUCCUGGGAAAUGACUAGAAAUCUCUCCCCAAGACUAUAAGGGCUUUUUAUUAUUAUUAUUAUUAUUGGUCCAUGCAGUAUGUCAAGCUUCCAAGGCAUGCAGAGCCAGGAAAAAAAGGCAGAAACUAGAUUUUCUGCUGGUCCUUCUCCCAUACAUUUCUGUCCUGGGAACUGGCCAUGCAGAUCCUAACGAAGGUUUGCACAUCUCAGAAGGGAGCUAUUGUUCUUACUUUUUGGUGAAGUAUGUUGAUGAUCCUGUUUCUAUCAGAGGAAAGCUACUCUCAAAUCAAGAGGCUAAAUUUUUGUUCUCCCCUGAAACCAUAUUUUCCCAGAGGACCUCCAGGAAAUCAGCACUCUGGAACCUUAUAAUUCUGUUUAUUCCAAAGGUUCUGGGCUUUCUCCCAAAUGCAUAUCCUAGUUUAUUAUGAUAGUCCAUCAUGGCUCUGGCAUAUGUAUAUUCAUCUCUGUUUAUUUAAGUCCAUUUAUAUUUUAAUCAUGAACUACUUAUUAGGACAAAGAGGUUUUUUUUGUUGACUCUUGCCAGCAUAAAACACCUUAGGUCUUAAGGGCAGCCUCUUUGCUUGUGUUGGGUGGACAAGACACCCAUUGGUCCAGGUUUCUUUAUCAGCCUCUUUUUCAUCCUUUCAGCUUCUAUCUUCUCAGAUGCUGAAUCCUGAUCUUUUCUUUCUGUUCUCAUUAGCCCCCAUGGACUCGAUUGCAUGAGUAGCUUUUCUUGUCUUCUUUUGGACUGUCUUUAGUUCUGUUACAUGUUCUUUAUUUUCCAUUUGUACACGGGUGGCAUGUCUGCAUGUUUGUGUUGCUUUUUAAUCUUGAUACCCUCCCGUGUUUCACGGAUGCUUUGAGGUAGCUUGUAAGGAUAGAAACUAAAACAAAAGAGAAACAGGACCUUACCAGGGAAAGAGAAAAUAUUAAAAGGGGAAUGAUUGCAGAGGAAAUGAGCUGCUACAGUGCAAAGAUUCAAACAGUACAUGCUGUUUCUAAUAGGCUGGUGUAGAUGAGGAUUAUUUUGUACUCAUGCAUAGCAAAGACUUGAAUCAGGACCUUUAUGUGAAAAGGGAAAUCUUAACUAUGGAACUCGAUAGGUAAAUAAAAAUACAGCUAUUGCUUAUCUGAUUAUUUUUUAUUUUAUACACUGGUUGGAUUGAGAUUUAAAUAUAUGUCCCCCUCUCCUCUUACACAUAGGAUCUCAAUUUGUCAACUCAAGUGAAUGAAUUAUGGUGUUGCUCUCCCAUCUGCUGUAAAGUUGGUCUCUUACGUAAAAAGAAGAGGCAGUACAAAAGAGAAAAGGGGUAGGGAGAGAACAGGGAAGAGUAGAAUGAGAGGAAGGAGAGGAGGGAGACUUCUAAUUAGCUUGGAUAAUGGUAAGAUUAAUGAGGUGCUCCAGUUAAUGAGGCAGUUUGCUGGCAGAGGUGGUAGUUCAGUGUUUCCAGGGCCCCUAUGUGGGCUUGAGGCACCUUUAUGAAAAGCUGAGUCAGAUAUUUAAGGAAGAGGGAAAGUUAGGCUUCCAAAAGCCUGAAGCCAGGAAACCAUCCCCACACAGUUGGCUGGAGUCAGUUUGAUGCAAGUCAGAUGGGGACAUAGCUCUACCUUUGUUUCUCUCUGGGUUGUGUGUUCUGGCCUCAUAAUUCAGCUCUCCUGACCCCUGAAUGGGCUGUCAUGAAGUGAGCAAAACCUUCUUCCCUUUCUUUAUUCCCCCAUGUCCCAUGAGGAGUCUGUGUGAGUGUGUGUGUGUGUGUGUGUGUCUGUGUGUUUCUCUCAGUCAUUGGAAGGGUCCAUCCACCACUAUGGUGAAUUUCUCAAAGAUGGAGACCCUGUCUCUACCAUUAGAUUCUGCUCUCCUCCAAAUGAAAUUUAUAGCUUUCUUUCAGAUUGGGAGCUUCCUAAUGAUGGGAAUCAGUGUCCUUUACAUUAUUUUAAGAGAUUCUCAAAGGGGACAAAGAUCCCUUUCCCUUUUUCUCCUCUGAAUCCCAUCAUAUAUUUUAUCAAGAAUCUUGCAUUUCUUCAAUCCACACAUAUUUACCAGGUACUGUUUUAGGCACUUGGAGAUACAGAGUGAACAGAGUCUGAGUUCCUGCUCAAGGAGUUUACCUUCCGGUGUGGGGAGGUAAGAGAGAUAGGUAAUAAGUUGAUAAAUAGAUGUCAAGCAUGGUAACAUUGGUAAGGGAUUCAGGGAAGUAAUGCUGUUUCAUGAAGGGUAAUCAGAGAUGACCUUUCUGAGAAGGUGCCAUUUGAUGGCCGGAAGGAAGGCAUGCAAUUAUUUUGGCCGAGGGAUGAGAGAUCCAGGCAGAGGGAACAGCAAAUGCAUUUCCCCUCGUCUCUGGAGUAUGUGUGACCAGCAGCGGUGUCUCAGAGACACCCAAUCAUCCUACAUCUCAGAAUCAGAUGCUUCAACAUCUGCUAUGGCAGACUUCCCUGCCUGGGCUGUGUCCAAGCUCAGCAGCCCUUUUAAACUCAUCUUCAGGGGUCUUCAGCAGUCACCUUCAGGGAUCUUGCUCUUUCUGCCUGUUUGUGGUCUUGUUAGAACUCUACAACCAGGUGGUCUGGGCUGAAAUCCUAUCCCUGACACUUAAUACUUGUAUAAUGUUAGUCAAGUUAGUUAAUCUCUUUGGGUUUCCUCAUCUGUAAAAUAGAGAUGAUUUUUGCCCCCAACUCAGAGAUUAAAUGAGUUCAUACAUGAAAAUACUUAGAAUGUAGCCUGCACAGAGUAAAUGCUAUAUGCAAAUAUUAGCUGCCAUUAUUGGUUUUGUUGUUGACUUGUUUCAGCAAAUGAAAAAUCUUUCCUUUAUUUUAAAGAUAACAUUUUCUUCCUCUUAAAGCUGCUCAGCCUCUUGCUUACCUACAGAUGAGGGAUGAAGUUGGAGUGAACCAGAGUUCUCAGGUUUUUCUGCCAGGCCGGCCUCUCUGGUUUCUCCCUUGAACUAUGCUGGGCACAUCCCCUCCCCACUGCUACAAAGCUGAUUCUGCUCUUACAGAUUUUAUUCUUCCUCAUGGUUCAUAGAGACUAGUCUUUUCUCCUCAACCCAGAAUUUCUCCAAGGCAGGGAUGAAGGCUCUAUCUGCCUCUUUCAUGUUCCCUACAUCAUCUUGGAUAGAACUGAAGGUUUUGAACGUUCUGCUGCUGCUGCUGCUGCUAAGUCGCUUCAGUCGUGUCCGACUCUUAGCAACCCUAUGGACUGCAGCCUCCCAGGCUCCUCUGUCCAUGGGAUUUUCCAGGCAAGAGUACUGGAGUGGGGUGCCAUUGCCUUCUCCAUUUGAAUGUUCUACUCAGUGUUUACUGGGGGUUCCAUUCAUGCUGUUUGAAAUGUAGUCCUUCCUUGUUGUUUAGUGCUGAUCAGUGACUCUUCAUUCUCCACACUGUCUGUCUUCUGGUAGAGGCAAAGAACAGAGCUCAGACUUGGGAACCACACUGAGUCUAAAUUCUACUUGCUCUGUGACUUUGGGCAUAAUGAUCUCUAUGUUGUCAAGAGGGCUGAUAACUCAGUACAUGUACAACACUUAGGAAAGUGUCUUUUGAGUGGUUUCUAGGUUUUAGCCAUUGAUACUGUUGUUGUUUAUUGUUACUGUUAUUAAUGUUAUUUCAGCGUGUUUUAUACAUAUAAGAGUUCUAGAAGUCAGGUGGGCUAGAGUAGUCCUGGCUUAUCUGAAGACAUAACCUGGAAGGCAUUCUUUCCAUGGAAGAUGGAUCUGAGGCAGCAUCUGUUGUAUCUAAGAAGCCAACGCUUAUAUGAGAUACAGAAUGCUGGCUGAGAUGAAGGGCAGUGUCACUAGUCUUGCUUCAGGGGCUAGUUUCUUUAGUGUUAUGUCAUUUCCAUGACUGAAAGUUUCUUAAGGAUAUUUUGCCAAGUACCCCAAGCUGUGUACCCCAAGCUCUGUAUCAUGCUGGGAGAUCCAGCAAAUACUUGCAGAAUUAAUUAAUAACUGGUUAGGUGGAUGGUUGGAUGAAUGGAUAUUUGAAUGGUUGAAUGCAGAGAUGGAUGGAUGCAGAGAUGGGUUGAUGGAUGCAGAGACAGGUAUAUGGAUGGAUUGUAGAGUAAAUGAGAGAUGAGCAUUUUCUACAUUAUUAUGAUUCAAACUACCAAAGAUCUGAGUCUGUUAGCUUGUUUCUACCCUCACUCCAUCUUUCUAACCUUCUUUUAAUUCUUGCUUCCCUUUUCCUUUCCUCCUUGCUUUCCUCUCUUCUUAUGCUCUCUCUCCCAUUGUCUCCAGACCCCAUUGUGUCCCUCUUUACUAUUUUCUCUUCUAGCCUCAGUAUCAAGUACCAACAUUCCCCCAAGUCCCUUAAAGGUCAAAAUCUAGAGUGUUCACAGUGUGGUGGCCGAGGUGCUCUCUCCCCUGUGUAUCUAUUUCCCCAGAUGACCCUGCAUCAUUUGCUGAGGUGACAAUACCCCCAGCUUCACCUUGACACUCUGCAUCAUUGUUUUGGGAACCAUCUUUGCCAAGUGAUUAAGGCUGAAUUGAUGCCCCCAGCACACAGGAAUCUUGCACCUUUUCUCAGUCUGUCUCUCUCUAUACUGCUGUUUAAAUGUCACUGCUAUUGAACAAAGAGUGGAGUAAUGGAAAGACAAGCUAAUGCUAUAUUUUGGUAAGUUCUUAUCAAAAUGCCUUUGGUAAGCUAUUUGCCCUUGAUAAAAGAAAAAAAAAAAAAAAAGAAUCCUGGUCUUGCUGGCAAAAC